Homo sapiens (human) is the source of this 1682-nucleotide long non-coding RNA. NCBI's taxonomy places the organism in Eukaryota, Metazoa, Chordata, Mammalia, Primates, Hominidae. The record is from Ensembl.
GGCCUGCUGGGGGAGGGGGCCGCGGGGGGCGGGGGAGCUCACCUCCGCCAUUCUUGUAGCACAGGCUGCAGCCGUCUCCUCCCGGUGCUCGCUCCUUCCUUGAGCUCUGUCCACCGCUGCCCACUGGGGGCUAGAGCUUCCCGGCUACCCUGGAAGCUGGAGGCUGGGACCAGCUCUUCAGGUGACAGGCCUCUGUGUCUCCACAGUGGCCAGAGGGGAGCCUGCCUGACUGAUGAGCAAGGCUCCACUUUGUCACCAAGGCAGAGAAGGGGCCCGGCUCCCUGAUCUGAUCGUGGACACUGCAGUCCCCAGAUGGCUCAUCCCGUUAAGCUAAGCCCUCGGCCAUCCCUCCAGCUUUAGGAAGAAAAGCAGUUCUGGCCCAAGCCAGACUGAGCUUCCUGGGGUCUUCUCUGGCCCAGCCUUUGACUGAAGCUGGUCUGGAGACAGGGGCGUUAGAGAAGUGACUCAUAGAUGGCCUAAAUAAGCGGGGCCACUCAAGGACCCAGGACAGGGGGAAGAGGGCCAACCCAUCUGGACCGCAGGCAAACCCCAUGGCCUUUGAGAGAAGAGAGAAGAGGACCCGGUGAAGUAGGCUCCGAGGGCCUCAGCCCAGCAGGAGCGCAGGGAGCUGCACCAGGAACUCACAGAGGAUCAGGGAGAAUUCUGAGAACAUGCUACUGUGGUGCUGCCUAGAGAGGAAGGAUAAAUGAUGACAAGUACAUCUCUGAGUAACGUAUGGCCACUUGUUCAUGAAAACUGUUUUUCUGAAAGCUUGUGAAGGUCUUGAAAUACUCGCUAUCAGUUGAGGACAAACAUUUACACCCUCCUUCCACAGGGAGUUCAAGCAGGCUGGAUGGGUCCAUCUAUGGAUGAUCUUCCCCAGCCCCUUCCUCUUCCCAGCUCAUUCCUGGCUCUCUGUGUGAACAGGUCUCAUCAGUGGAAUGUGGUUGAUGAAGUGAGGUCUUCAAUUUUCUCAUCUACUGUGUGGUCAUGUUAUUUUCCUCAUCUGAGGCUUAAAAACUCACCUGCAUGCAGCACAUGACAGCUUAAAAUCUCUUGUGAACAAAACAGUAACAAAGACACCCACCAGCGUUGAGCAUCCCGUGUUGAUGACAGCGACCACCAUGGGUCAACGUCCUCUUCACAAUCCUGUGUCAGAGCAUCACUUGACUGAUUUCAUUAGCAACUUCCCAGGAGAAUCAGCUUACAAAAUACUUGUCCCAUUUUCCAUGCAGAUGUAACCCAUCUAUUUUACUGAAGAAAUGGGAAGAGCUGAAUGCUGAAUACACUGAAUGUCUGCAGGUUGUGCAAGUUUGUGACUUUAUCACUUUCUAAUUUCUGAUCUGUGUGGACCACUCUACAGAUUUUUCUCACUGGUGUGAUCAGCCUUCUGGAUGUCAAAUAUAAUAGACUUUCAACAAUAUAAAAGUCAACACAAGCUCCUCAUGGUUUCAGUGCUCAGUGAUGACUCUAAACUUACACAAUGUGUUUCUUUAUUAGUUUUGUUUUCUGGUAUCUCUACUCGGCAUCUUCACCACACCCAUUUUAUGUUUCUUAUACAGGUAAUUGAUAAUUUUAAAAUUUAUUGGUGCUUACUUUAAUUAAAUAAGCAGACAGUAUCUUAGAAUUUAAAAAAAAUGUGCAGUAAAAGGAAAUGCAAUAAAUUUUAAUGUAAGGAAACC